AUUGAACGCUGGCGGCAGGCCUAACACAUGCAAGUCGAACGGUAACAGGAAGAAGCUUGCUUCUUCGCUGACGAGUGGCGGACGGGUGAGUAAUGUCUGGGAAACUGCCUGAUGGAGGGGGAUAACUACUGGAAACGGUAGCUAAUACCGCAUAACGUCGCAAGACCAAAGAGGGGGACCUUCGGGCCUCUUGCCAUCGGAUGUGCCCAGAUGGGAUGAGCUCGUUGGUGGGGUAACGGCUAACCAAGGCGACGAUCCCUAGCUGGUCUGAGAGGAUGACCAGCCACCCUGGAACUGAGACACGGUCCAGACUCCUACGGGAGGCAACAGUGGGGAAUAUUGCACAAUGGGCGCAAGCCUGAUGCAGCCAUGCCGCGUGUAUGAAGAAGGCCUUCGGGUUGUAAAGUACUUUCAGCGGGGAGGAAGGGAGUAAAGUUAAUACCUUUGCUCAUUGACGUUACCCGCAGAAGAAGCACCGGCUAACUCCGUGCCAGCCGCCGCCGUAA
RNAcentral lists this ribosomal RNA (506 nucleotides) under uncultured bacterium. RNAcentral describes it as "partial 16S ribosomal RNA". It matches the Rfam family "Bacterial small subunit ribosomal RNA", at positions 30 to 523 of the family's 1533-position model. The record is from RNAcentral.